AGCUCCUGUUCUGGCCAACCCAGGGGUCCACCCCAAUCAAGCAAUGGUACUGUAGUUGGCUGGGUGGGAGGUUGAGUCCCCUCAGGUCCCCUGAGAAGCAGAUGCUAAGACAAUGCUAGACAACUCAGAGAUUAAACAGGGGAAGUUCCCAUGAAGGAUAGUUGGGAGAGAGAGCAGGAGGAGGUGGGGUGAGCCUUCAGACCACCUGCAGGUCUGACUCUGUGGAAGGAGAGAGGGAAGGAACAACAAGGUGGGAAGGACUUCAGACAGCAGUGCAGAUUUCAGCCCUUCUUGGCCAAGCCAUGGGGCAUCUCUGAGCAAAGGUUGCCUGUUGGAGGAGCCCCACAUCCGCAGAAAUCGCCCCAGGCUAGUGCCUCUGCCCAGUUCAGGCACUGGCUAGGAGUAGCCCAAAGAGAGUGGCAUCAGCAUCAACAUCACCAUGGACCUGAAGCAGCAGAGCUGCACUGACUGUGGUCAGGGACCCUGGGAGUGGGUUCUCUGGAAUUCCGGGGAGGUCUCAGCAGCACCCCUGCAUAGCUGCCAAGGAGCCAUCCCAGUGCUGCCAUUGAUGUUGGGAUCUGUGUCACAGGCAGCAGUGGAGAUGUUCUCAGUUUCCACCCCAGCAGCACCAUCUGUGGAGUGCUGCCUUUCUACCAUCCGCAGCAGGGAUGGGUGGGUGCCUUCGCCUCCUAGGGGACUGGAAUGGGGCAGUCCCAGCCUCCUCCAGAAGGAAGUAGCAUUGAGUGGGCAAAGGUCAUGGGUCAAGCAAAUAGCAUCUGUGAAUGGAGUGAAAGGACCCCAAACCAUUGUGAGUCAACAGCAGCACGGUGGCUGAGAGGUGGGGCUGAAUUGAACCGUGGAGUAAAUGAGACAAUACAGGAGAUGAAGCGCCAUGUUUCAUGCAAAAGCUAUGGAGAGAGCCACUCCCAGAGGCCCUGCUGACACCUCUGAAUGUCCCGCUGACAUGUUUAAAUGUCACCAAGAUACAGCCUCACAAACAUCCAUGAAUAAACAAACCAAGUUCCUUGGAAACCUCUGAAAAAAUAAUUAACACCAGAAGAGGUUUGAGGGAGAAGAUCUGGGUGCAAGAAUUUCGUAUCCAACCAGGCGUUCUUCUGGUUGGAAGAACCAGACUUGCAGAAAGCAAGUCUCAGGUGGAUGUGGCCUGUAGAAAAACAACCGCCCCAAAACUUUAGACCUCCAAGAGAUCAUCACUAAGAAGAGUGCAAGGAUGAAAACAUCAAGGUAGAAAAGCUUGGAACUGAGCAUUGAAUUGAAAGCAGGAAACUAUGGAAAGAGACUUAAGUUAUGAUGAAUAUAGUUACACAUUUAAAAUCAAAAGAAAAAAAAAAACAGAAGAGAUUAUCUGGCUGGACUAGUGGCUCACACCUGUAAUCCCAGCACUUUGGGAGGCCAAGGUUGAAGGAGCACUCGAGCCCAGGAGUUUGAGACCAGCCUGGGCAACAUAGUGAAACUUCAUCUCUCCAAAAAAGAAAAAAAAAUUUUUUUUAGAUUAGUAGAGUGUGGUGGCUCGUGCCUGUAGUCCCCAACUAUUUGGCAGGCUGUGUGGGAGGAUCACUUGAGCCCAGGAGUUUGAGACCCGCCUAGGCAACAUAGUGAAACCCCAUCUCUACCAAAAAAAAAACUUAAUUAGUAGGGCAUGGUGGCUCGUGCCUGUGGUCCCCAACUAUUUGGGCGGCUAUGUGGGAGGAUCGCUUGAGCCCAGGAGUUUGAGGCUGCAGUGAGCCAUGAUCGUGCCACUGCACUCCAGCCUGUGUAACAGAGUGAGACCCUCUCUCUAAGAAAAAAAAAAAAGAGAUAAUCUGUGUCCCUAGAAAGAGACAAGUUUUAAUAUUGCGGAUAAAUUAAUAAAGCAGGAAGAAUGUUCUUGUGUUGUAGGGGGUGGGGACAAUGGAGGGUAAUAGUAAGUGCCUGGGGUGAAGCAAAAGGCUCUAUUGCUAAUAUUUCUAUUCUGUUUUUUUUUUACUUCAAUAAUUACAGAAAUAUGUGUCAGAUUCUUGAAAACCUUAAAAGCAACCACUAUUAAAAAUAUGAUGUCUACCUUCAAAAUUACUACAGAAGAUGAAAAGAAACAAAACCAACUACAUAGCAAAGGAGUGAAUAUAAUAGGAAAAGAAACAGCAUAGAAAUUACAACAAUAAGUGUGAAAAAAUUCAACUUUUAUUAAUAUUCUCAAUUCAAAAAUAAAAUAUAACUGUUUGCUCUUAUGAAGGGUGCACUUAAAUGACACAGAAAUGUUCCACAUAAAAGUUCUGUGGCGAUAGAACAGACAAAUAUAAACAAAAGAAAGACAGGGAGGCAAUAUUCAUAACUAGCCUUGUAGAAUUGCAGAACAAAAUUGCUCAUCAGGAUUAAGAAGCUUAUUUUUAUAGAAUAAAAUAAAAACUCAAUUGCGAGGGCAAAUGUAGUAAUCUUAUACACCGAAUGGUGGAAAAGUACAUCAGGUACAAUUCUUAGAAUUCAAGGAGCCAUUGGCAAAAACAAACUGCAGUGUCAGACUUUCAUGUACUGUAGAUUAGAACAAAACAAAUAGGCAAAAUAUAAAUUAGGACAUAGAAUUAUAUAAAUAAUAUGAUUAAUACAGUUUAAUUAAUAGCCCUUGGGCUUGGUUUUAAACAAAUAGGUAACCCAUUUUUUUUCUCAAGCAGCCAAAAAACACUUGCCAAAAAUGAAUUAUCUACCUUACAAGAACAAAACCAUCCAUUAAAAAAAUUCAGAAAUUAUUUUGGCUAUACUCUCUGACCUCAUACACAAAGACCUAGAAAAUAAAAAUACAGCCUGGCCGGGUGCAGUGGCUUAUGCCUGUAAUCCCAGCACUUUGGGAGGCAAAGGAGGGAGGAUCGUUUGAGCCCAGGAGUUUGAGAUCAACCUCACAACAUAGUGAAACUUCUGUCUCUACAAUUUUUUUUUUUUAAUUAGCUGGAUGUGGUGGCUUGUGCCUAUAGUUCCAGCUACUCAGAGGCAGAGGUUAAGGCAAGAGGAUGGCUUGAGUCCAGGAGGUCGAGGCUGCAGUGACCUGUGAUCAUGCUACUACCCUUUAGCCUGGGCAACAAAGUAAGACCCUGUUUAUAUAAAUUCUGUCUCAAAAUAAUAACAAAAAUAAUAAUGACUAUUUAAAAAUAAAGUGAGAACUACAAAACUAAAUACAUGUGAAGAAUAGCAAGAACUUUUUGGAUUGGUUGUUUUAAAAAAAAAAAAAUUCACAGGAUACAGCCAAAACUAUUCUCAGAGAUAAACACAUUGCCCUAACUGCUUUAAUUUUCUUUAAGGACAUUAAAUAAAUGAAUUAAGCACUUAACUUGAGCAUUUAGGGAAAAAAUGUCUUAGGGAAAUCAGGAAAAAAGUAUAAAGAUAAAAGUGGAAAUAAAGGAAUUAGAAAAGAGAAAAUAUCAGAAUCAACACAUUUAAUAGGUGGUUCCUUCAGAACAGAAGCAAUAAACGAAGCAAUACCUAUAUCUCUAACAACUAUGAUCAAGAAGAAAGGGCUCAAAUGGUCAUAACUAGAAAUAAGAAAGAAGACAUUAAGCUGAGUUAGAGAGGAGAGCAAAAAUAGCAAGAAACUGCAUUGUUACGUGUGUGUUGAUCUGUUGAAAAACCUUGAUGUAGUUGUUGAUUUGGGGGCAAAAAAUAAUUUACCACAAUCUAUACAAGGUUUGACACAAGAAGAAAUAGAAUUAUUGACUAGACCAAUAACCAUAAAAGAAACAGAAUAUUAUCAAAGAAUUACUCUUAAAAUAGGCUCUAGCUUAUUUCAAAUUUUCAAGCAACAGAUAAUCCCCGUGCCCUAUAAAGUAUUUCAGAACAUAGUAUUAAUGAAUUUCUAUUAAACUAACUUAUCCAAAUAGCGAAACUCAGCACAAAAGAGACAGACUUGCUCAAAUACAAUUAUGAAUAUAUAUGCAAACAUCCUAAUUAAAAUAUUACCAGGUGGAAUUCAGUACAUUAACAUUAUAAAUCAUCAUGAUGAAUCAGAUUCACUAUAGAAAUGUAAGAUAGUUUCAGUGUUAGGAAAUCAAUUAAUGUUUUGUAUCACAUCAUUAGAGCAAAAAUAAAAAGUCAUCCAAUUGUAUAAAUAGUUUUUUGAGUUAUUUAACUAAUGGAACAGGAAAGUACUUCUUACAAAGAGUAAAUUGCUCACACCAAUGACAACUUUGUAUUUAAUGGUAAAAUAGUAGGGACAUUCUUGUUGAAAUCAGACAUUUACUAACCCAAAAAUCUCAGACUAUGCACUAACACAUUUAACAGAAGCAAGAAUAAAUGAGGCAUUCCACAAAAAUCAAUAAUACAAAGGGAAGGCUUAGUUAAGAAAUUAUGUUAAGAAUUAUGUUAAGACUGUCAGUUAACAAUUUGGGAGUAAAAACCAACUUAGAGUCUCAUCUUACACGGUAUCUCAAAAGAAAUUCCAAAUUCAUCAAGGAAUUACAUUUCAAAACAAUCAAAUCAUAGAAAAACUAGAUGAAAAUUUAAUAAACAACUUAUAAAAUCACUAAAGGGAAAAGCUCUUUGUCAACUUAGCAUAACUGAAAAUCAAAGAAACAGAAAAUAAACAGGACAGGUUUGACUGCACAAAAAAAAUUCUUUUUGCUAAAAAGUCUUAACAUCAAAUAAUGUACUCGAAGAAACAAAACACAAUCAAUGUUAGACAAAUGACGUUCUUUCUCUGAGAAGAGAAUAUUAAAAUGAAUAACAUCAAGAACAACAAUAGAAGAACAAGCCAAUGACAUAGGCAGUUCCCAGAAGAGGAUUUACAAAGAGAUAACAUUUUUGCUUAUCAAAUUUAACAAAGAAUUUGGCAAGGGUUCUGUGAAACCAGUCACCAAUAUGCUAGUAAGUGUACAAAUUAGCACACCACUUUUGGGAUUUGAUAAUUUCUAUUACAAGCCAUGAAAAUUGUAUGUCUUUAAUCCAGUGAUUCUGAGAAUUCACCUUAAGUAAAUUAUAUGAAAGAAGAAAAAUUGUGUACAAAAAUAUGUCCACCUUGGCAUUUUUUCUUCUUAUUCUUCUUUGCCUCACUGUAUUACCACAUUACUUUUUUUCUAAUAGUAAAAAAUACAUACACACAUGUAAAUGCCAACAAGAGGUUAAGUUCACUACGGUAAAUUUACUCAAUGGAAAAUUUUUCUGUCUGACUGUUAUGUUUAUGCUGACUAUGUUGAGUAAAAACCCCACAAACUAUAGAAUUAGACAUUCAGAAUGAUUUCAACUGUGAUUAAAAUUACAAAAACCCACGCAUAGAGGGGAAAAAAAAAAAACCUAAAAAAAGAUUUCUACAUCCCAACCAGUGGUUGCAUUCUAGCAGUUGGAAGCUGGGAUUCCCGCAACUGCCAGUGGUCCAUGGUACCCUCAUCCGCCCACACCCUCAAGGAUCCAGUGUCCCACUUGCGGCAGCCCUGUGGCUUUGCCUGCACAGCUGAGACCUCGAAACCCAGCUAUGUGGCUCCACACCAGACCUACCUUUCUUCCCUCUGUGGCCUGGACUUUCCAGAGAACACAAGCAACAAGAAGAUCACAACCCUAAGGAGGGUUGCAACUGAGAAG
RNAcentral lists this long non-coding RNA (5559 nucleotides) under Homo sapiens (human). Its description in RNAcentral is "HSALNT0309441". Lineage: Eukaryota; Metazoa; Chordata; Mammalia; Primates; Hominidae. The record is from RNAcentral.